This 571-nucleotide ribosomal RNA is filed under the name uncultured bacterium. Its description in RNAcentral is "partial 16S ribosomal RNA". It matches the Rfam family "Bacterial small subunit ribosomal RNA", at positions 355 to 1375 of the family's 1533-position model. The record is from RNAcentral.
UGGGGAAUAUUGCACAAUGGGCGCAAGCCUGAUGCAGCGACGCCGCGUGAGGGAUGACGGCCUUCGGGUUGUAAACCUCCUUCAAUAGGGACGAAGCGCAAGUGACGGUACCUAUAGAAGAAGGACCGGCCAACUACGUGCCAGCAGCCGCGGUAAUACGUAGGGUCCGAGCGUUGUCCGGAAUUACUGGGCGUAAAGAGCUCGUAGGUGGUUUGUCGCGUUGUUCGUGAAAACUCACAGCUUAACUGUGGGCGUGCGGGCGAUACGGGCAGACUAGAGUACUGCAGGGGAGACUGGAAUUCCUGGUGUAGCGGUGGAAUGCGCAGAUAUCAGGAGGAACACCGGUGGCGAAGGCGGGUCUCUGGGCAGUAACUGACGCUGAGGAGCGAAAGCGUGGGGAGCGAACAGGAUUAGAUACCCUGGUAGUCCACGCCGUAAACGGUGGGGUACUAGGUGUGGGUUUUCCUUCCUUGGGAUCCGUGCCGUAGCUAACGCAUUAAGUACCCCGCCUGGGGAGUACGGCCGCAAGGCUAAAACUCAAAGGAAUUGACGGGGUCAUAGCUGUUUUCCU